GAUGAACGCUGGCGGCGUGCCUAAUACAUGCAAGUCGAGCGAAUGGAUUAAGAGCUUGCUCUUAUGAAGUUAGCGGCGGACGGGUGAGUAACACGUGGGUAACCUGCCCAUAAGACUGGGAUAACUCCGGGAAACCGGGGCUAAUACCGGAUAACAUUUUGAACCGCAUGGUUCGAAAUUGAAAGGCGGCUUCGGCUGUCACUUAUGGAUGGACCCGCGUCGCAUUAGCUAGUUGGUGAGGUAACGGCGCACCAAGGCAACGAUGCGUAGCCGACCUGGGAGGGUGAUCGGCCACACUGGGACUAAGACACGGCCCAGACUCCUACGGGAGGCAGCAGUAGGGAAUCUUCCGCAAUGGACGAAAGUCUGACGGAGCAACGCCGCGUGAGUGAUGAAGGCUUUCGGGUCGUAAAACUCUGUUGUUAGGGAAGAACAAGUGCUAGUUGAAUAAGCUGGCACCUUGACGGUACCUAACCAGAAAGCCACGGCUAACUACGUGCCAGCCGCCGCCGUAA
Molecule: ribosomal RNA, 515 nt
Filed under: uncultured bacterium
Lineage: Bacteria
Description: partial 16S ribosomal RNA
Rfam family: Bacterial small subunit ribosomal RNA
Source: RNAcentral